Arachis ipaensis is the source of this 199-nucleotide non-coding RNA. The record is from RefSeq and is a predicted model, not a curated record. Lineage: Eukaryota; Viridiplantae; Streptophyta; Magnoliopsida; Fabales; Fabaceae.
UCUCAAAGGCUUUUCAUUGGAAAACAGAAAGAAAUUUCUGAAGUUUGUGACAGGUUGCUCUCGUGGACCAUUGCUGGGUUUUCGAUAUCUUGAACCUUUGUUUUGCAUACAAAGGGCUGCUGGUACUGCAUCGGAGGAAGCUCUUGACCGAUUACCAACGUCAGCUACUUGUAUGAAUAUGCUAAAGCUUCCACCUUAU